This is a long non-coding RNA of Tupaia belangeri chinensis (Chinese tree shrew), 321 nucleotides long. RefSeq lists it as uncharacterized. The transcript is spliced from 3 exons. The record is from RefSeq and is a predicted model, not a curated record. NCBI's taxonomy places the organism in Eukaryota, Metazoa, Chordata, Mammalia, Scandentia, Tupaiidae.
UCCUGUAUUUCCUUCAAAUUGCCUUGGGUGACAGUUGAUCAAGUAUUCUGUACUACGUCAAAACUGUUUGUGGAAAUGCUCCAGGAAACUUUGUGGAGGCCAAAAGUCUGAAGUAAGAAUCAUCUGGCUGAAAUCAAGGUGUGAGCAGGCCCACCUUACCUCCAGAGACUCUAUUUCCUGACUUCCAGAUCUCAAUGACUGCCAGCAUUCCUUGGGUUGGUGCUAUAUCAUCAGUAAUACUGUACCCCCUGCAUUGUAACAUCUUGUUCACUUAAUUACCGAAGACAACGUUUUUCAAAUUGCAGUCAUUUGGAUUGAUAC